Molecule: ribosomal RNA, 491 nt
Filed under: uncultured bacterium
Lineage: Bacteria
Description: partial 16S ribosomal RNA
Rfam family: Bacterial small subunit ribosomal RNA
Source: RNAcentral
GGUGAACGCUGGCGGUAGGCCUAACACAUGCAAGUCGAACGGCAGCACAGUAAGAGCUUGCUCUUACGGGUGGCGAGUGGCGGACGGGUGAGGAAUACAUCGGAAUCUACUUUUUCGUGGGGGAUAACGUAGGGAAACUUACGCUAAUACCGCAUACGACCUACGGGUGAAAGCAGGGGAUCUUCGGACCUUGCGCGAUUGAAUGAGCCGAUGUCGGAUUAGCUAGUUGGCGGGGUAAAGGCCCACCAAGGCGACGAUCCGUAGCUGGUCUGAGAGGAUGAUCAGCCACACGGGAACGGAGACAGGGUCCAGACCCCUAGGGGAGGCAGCAGGGGGGAAUUUUGGAAAAUGGGCGCAAGCCUGAUCCAGCCAUCCCGCGUGGGUGAAGAAGGCCUUCGGGUUGUAAAGCCCUUUUUUUGGGAAAGAAAAGAAGCAGGUUAAUCCCCCGCUGUUCUGACGGUACCCAAAAAAUAAGCACCGGCUAACUUCGU